RNAcentral lists this ribosomal RNA (362 nucleotides) under Saccharomyces cerevisiae YJM1574. Its description in RNAcentral is "ITS1-20". Lineage: Eukaryota; Fungi; Ascomycota; Saccharomycetes; Saccharomycetales; Saccharomycetaceae. The record is from RNAcentral.
AAGAAAUUUAAUAAUUUUGAAAAUGGAUUUUUUUGUUUUGGCAAGAGCAUGAGAGCUUUUACUGGGCAAGAAGACAAGAGAUGGAGAGUCCAGCCGGGCCUGCGCUUAAGUGCGCGGUCUUGCUAGGCCUUGUAAGUUUCUUUCUUGCUAUUCCAAACGGUGAGAGAUUUCUGUGCUUUUGUUAUAGGACAAUUAAAACCGUUUCAAUACAACACACUGUGGAGUUUUCAUAUCUUUGCAACUUUUUCUUUGGGCAUUCGAGCAAUCGGGGCCCAGAGGUAACAAACACAAACAAUUUUAUCUAUUCAUUAAAUUUUUGUCAAAAACAAGAAUUUUCGUAACUGGAAAUUUUAAAAUAUUAA